GUGUGUCCUGCGGAGUACACAUCUUGUGACACGUACACCAACACGAAGGUAACUCCAACAAGGCCAAAUACCCUCAACUUUGUGCUGCUACAGCUAUCGAUUUCCAGAUUCAAUGUGUCACCGUCUUGUUAUACCUGCCUGCAUUGACAACACUGCUUGAUUAGAUUUCCAUGGCUGCACGACACCUGUUUGUAUAAAUGCACCAUCCAGCACCAGGCUAACAGAAGACUCCAAACAGGUGGGUCUCAAUCAGAUUCCACGUUGCCCCCGAAUCAUGGAAGGGUUUGAUGUGGUUCUUGAGCUUAGAGAAGACCACCUCCAUGAAUCAUGUCAUUUUGCUCACCUAACUGGCAUGUGGACCCAGCCUCAUGUCUCUCUGGAGCAGGACAAGCAGUCUGGAAACAGAUCCAUGCUUCUUUGGGUACGAGGAUAUAUGAUUCUGCUUUGCACCUUCACAUGUGGGUGACCUGCUCAGGGCCUACUGAUAUGGGGUAAACCUUUAAUCUUUUACUCGAUUUGAAGAAUGAGUUGAACAACCAUGACUUCUGAAACUUGCAUGUUUUAGUUACUGUACAUAUAUUUUGUUUACAUUGUGUUGUUGCUGGUUGUUCUUCUGGUCACUAUUUUGACAUUAGUUAUCUGUAGUGUCAUGACCAAAAGUAUCUUGAGUUGCAUUCUAGUGACAUAUAUCUAUAUGUAUAUAUUCAGCUUUUUGGAAUAAUUAUAGUUCUAGUUCAGUUCACAAUCACAGCUAAAGCUUUGCCUAUUGUAUGUGCAUCAAUCAUGCAUAAUACAGAAUUUCUGUAUAAUCAAUGCAUUUGUACCUGAAGUAGAAAUGUGAUGCUUUCAGAUUGUGUGCGCGCGCCAUGGAAUAGUUAUACUUCAUGGGUAGUUAGUACUUGAAACAUUUACCAGCUUCCGGUGCUAUCUAAAAGAAAUAGAAGAAGAAAAAUCUUAUCCAUGUUAGUUUGAACAGAACUAAGAACUCACAAAAAUGACUGCUUACAGUUGUGCCAUAAGUUUCUCAACCAUCCACAAUAACCUUUCUGAGAUGCAGAGAACUUACAUGUUUUAGAUGAGUAGGUUGGCUGGAUAUAGAUUAUAAGUUUGAUACUCCCUUAAUUUUGAAAGAUUUUGUAGCAGUAGCCUCAGAGUAACAGCACUCCAGUGAAAUGAACCGUCCAGGCAGUAAACUAUAGAUGUUUUGCUAAGGAAAGAAGGAAAAAAGUAUACCAUACGAUCGAUGGAUUUGACAUUGUCCAACCCUCACAAACAAUGAACCACACCAUUGCUAUUGGACUGAUUUUUAUCUGGUUUUCCCUUUUGUGAGCUGGUUUCAUGAUCGCAUUCACAUUACAAAAUUGCCUGAACAAUGACUCUUUGAUAUCUAAUACAUUGUUUUAGAUAUUGAAGAACCAAUCAUUCUGAUGCCAUGUUGUUGACAUUGAAAUAAGGGUAACAUAAAUCUCCAGUUCUGAAGACUCUCAUCAUUAUAUUGUUAGUUGUUUCAUUUAUUCUAGUGUAGAUUACAUAAUACAAUGUGAUCAUUAUAUGUUGAGGGAGAUUAAGAUAUUAUAAAGGCCAUCCAUGAGUUUGGUCCCUUCAUGAGGUAGUUCCUGCACAGUCUAGUUAUUACUGUUUUAUGAGAAUUAAAAGAGAGGGACAUUAAUUCCCACACAGAAUACCUGGUCAAACACUUGGGCUCUUGAACCUUUAAAAUUAUCAUCUUAAUAUAUGUUCUGAAGUUGAUUUAUGCAUCAUGACUUGCACUAGUGGAGCAACCAAUCCACUAGUAGACAAGCAAAUUAGCACCAAACAAACCAAUACCUGAACGCACUACUUCUUGCAAGAUGGAGAGUCAAUUAAACAUUCACAGAGAGACGAGAAGUAGUAUUGCAAAUUAAACCUGUCACAAACUACUACUCUUACUCCUGUAAUUAAUACACAGUAAGAGGCACAGUUCUUAGAGGUUCCAAUCCUUUUUGUUCUGCAUUUUUUUGCAAUUUAGUGGUUUUAACUUUGUCUCAGAAAAAGAAAAACACUAUUUUAUCUUUUGUUUUAUAGUUAGAGCUGAUGCUCCCUCUUCAGAACCAAACAUGGGCCAAGAAAUCGGAAGACUUUCUACUCUGUGUCAGCUUGAUGGUCUACAGUAGUGGAUAACUGUAGGGAUUAUUAGCCCAGGAGUACCCACAUGAAACCUUGUCUUGAAUUCCAUGGUGAAGGUUCUAUUGUGGCACUCCUGAUGACACACAAUAAAGGUCACUAAUAUCUAUAAAGACAUCAAUUACAGUUUAAAUCAUAGCUUAAAAGAAUUAUAAAUGACAGAAUUUUUGUAGGUUGAUAGGUUUAAUUGCUACAAUGUUGACAAAAUCAACACUUAAUAAGUAUAUGUUCUCUAACCUAUGGUGUUCCUCUAAUUAAAUUGAAAGUUGUAGAAAGCCACUUUGCUGACUUCAGCUCUAAGCAGAUAAUGCAUGUUGUUUAUAGUUGCUCAUCAGCCAAUUAGGAUGUAAUUCUAGAGCUAAAUGUAAACCACAUCUCUGUAAGUCAUACAUGUUGGAAUUGAAUUCUUUAUCUAGAACUGAACUUUCAUAUAGAUUAUUAGCUCACAUCCUUAUCAAAUGAGUCAUUUAGUAAUCAAGUGUCCAUGUUGUUGAUGCUGAAACUUCUCUGACACAGUCUAAACCUUAGAGACAUGUUCUUUGAGUUUAUCUGCAGAUCACAGCAAUGAGGGCCAAGAGAUGUUAUAUUCUGAUCAUGUAUUGGACCAACAGAAAAUUAUAUCCAAUCAAUGUCUGCCAAAGAAAGAAAACCACAGUUGAGGACAAGAUGGGUCUGAGCAAAACCAGUGGCUGUAGUGUGUUUGCAGCCACUGAUGAAAGCAAUCCUCCUAUCACAUCUUGAACAACUGGGACUGGAAUGGGCUGUCACUUGCUAUAUAAAGGUUUGCUUAUAGAAUCUUUCUUCCCCAGUAUGCAUAGGAUGAAGUGAUAGUUAGGUUCAGACCAAUAGAAUUUGUGUUCUCUAAUCUCUUUGGACCAGUCUCCCAUUUUGAUCAAAUUUUUGACAUGAUUAUAGAAGUGGAAUACAUAUUAAAAUGAAUCAAAUGAUGAUAGUGUUACAUGUAAAAGACACCAUACAGUCACAUCUCAAGGGACUUGAAUGUGUAUUAACUCUUCAAGCUCUCAAAGGGAGCCACAUAUUUUGGAAUGUGCCCCUUGAGCAUAUCCUCAAGGUGGCCCAUGCACAACUCUACCCUGUUCAUAUAUGGCUCCAAGUUGACUGACCUCAUCCUCAUCAUUUACAAGAACAUUUCACGUGUUGCAGAAAUGCUAUGCUUCUCACAGAAAUCUCAAUCUCAACCUUUUGGAUUGCCCCUUCCCUAGCAUGGCCCUCCUGAGUCAUGAAGUAAUAAGAUCAUAUCUAAUCUCAUGUUAAUUUUGAGAGUUAGAAAAUCAAGAUGUUGUAAGGGGUCCAUCCUAGAACAGACACUUCCUUGCGAGUUUCUGUGCUCGUAAUGAUGAAAACAAAUAAUGAUUUAUGUCAUGAUAUAUGAGAGAAACAUUGAUCCCGAAACGAAGGGAGUUUUGAUAAGAUCAUAUUUAGUCUCAUAUUAGUUAUGUCUCUAUCUCCUAGAGUUUGGGGGGCUUAUCCUAGAGCGGAUAAUUCCUAGGGUGCUUGCACCAGAUAAAACCUAUCUCUAAGAAGAAGAGUCACAUCAGGAAGGUCAGGUAGGACUUGGCAGGUUUUAAAAGGCACUUUAAGACUUUGAGCUGCCAAACUUUGCUUUAUCAACAGCACUGCAGAACAGGAGGAAUUAGAUGGCCUAUGCAACAUCAAGCAUUGUGGUGAGUUUUGAGAUAUGGGGACUAACAGCAACAACAUGAAGUUGUGCUUCAGAAGGUUUUCUCCCAACCUUCAUAAAUCAAGCGAUAAUUGGAACAUCCAUAAGGUAAUAAUAACCAGAGCACAUAAAUCAAAGACUUUAUUCAAGUAUUUUCAGCUGGAUUAAGUCCAUAAGGCAAUAGUAAUACUGAAUUGAACAAGGUAUAGAAAGGUAUGACAGUCAUACCUUCCGAUGAAGACAUUUAGGCACAAGAAUCAUUUGUUUGUAACCAAUACUAGAAGCCAAUAAAGUUAUGCAAAACAAUCCAUAUUGACCUAAACAACAGCAAAAUUACAUUUUAAUUACCACAACAUAAAGUUUAUACAUAAGUUGUCUAUCGAGAUUCUAUUGAGAGAUUGGAUCAAACUACUUGGUUCAUCAGUUCCUGCGAUUCAUACAAACCCUACAACAUGUACUCUCUCCAAGUCACUCUGAAAUACUAAUUCUUGCAUGGUCUACUAAAGAAGAAGAAACUGUGAUAUAGUGCAGCGAGAUCACCUGAACACGAGGUUUCUAUAUUGAGAAUCUACUCCACUGCAUCUUGCACGAUACUUUGAUCAUAUGAUCCAUUGGCUCAUAUUAUCUUGGUCAGGUCAUGACCACUUAUUUCAGUAGAACCAGCUGGAUCCAUCAUGCUUCUGCAGCGAACCCCCCAUUCCUCUCUGCGAUACAUCAGAAUAAUCCAUUGCAGGUAUGUUUAAGCCAGAUCUGAAUCUGAAGCCACCACUUAAUUCAUUGGGUUGGUUGCUGAAUUGUUGCCCGAAUGGCAUCAUGUCCUCACGGAGGAAGAACUGAGGUUGCUGAACCAAGCUGCCAACUUGUUCGAAGAGACUGCCACCCGUUCCUGUCUCCUGCCUGAAGAAGUUGUCUUCCAUCUGAAUUCUGCUCUGGAGAGAAUUUGACCCUUCCAACACAGAAACGCUUCCCAAAGUCA
Molecule: long non-coding RNA, 4820 nt
Filed under: Musa acuminata (dwarf banana)
Lineage: Eukaryota; Viridiplantae; Streptophyta; Magnoliopsida; Zingiberales; Musaceae
Description: long non-coding RNA (MACU_LNC003197)
Source: RNAcentral